AGUGAACGCUGGCGGUAGGCCUAACACAUGCGAGUCGAACGGCAGCACAGUAAGAGCUUGCUCUUACGGGUGGCGAGUGGCGGACGGGUGAGGAAUACAUCGGAAUCUACUUUUUCGUGGGGGAUAACGUAGGGAAACUUACGCUAAUACCACAUACGACCUACGGGUGAAAGCAGGGGAUCUUCGGACCUUGCGCGAUUGAAUGAGCCGAUGUCGGAUUAGCUAGUUGGCGGGGUAAAGGCCCACCAAGGCGACGAUCCGUAGCUGGUCUGAGAGGAUGAUCAGCCACACUGGAACUGAGACACGGUCCAGACUCCUACGGGAGGCAGCAGUGGGGAAUAUUGGACAAUGGGCGCAAGCCUGAUCCAGCCAUACCGCGUGGGUGAAGAAGGCCUUCGGGUUGUAAAGCCCUUUUGUUGGGAAAGAAAAGCAGCAGGUUAAUACCCCGCUGUUCUGACGGUACCCAAAGAAUAAGCACCGGCUAACUUCGUG
This 492-nucleotide ribosomal RNA is filed under the name uncultured bacterium. RNAcentral describes it as "partial 16S ribosomal RNA". It matches the Rfam family "Bacterial small subunit ribosomal RNA", at positions 29 to 507 of the family's 1533-position model. The record is from RNAcentral.